GCCCCCGUAGCUCAGUGGAUCAGAGCGACGGCCUUCUAAGCCGUGGGUCGCAGGUUCGAAUCCUGCCGGGGGCG
Molecule: transfer RNA, 74 nt
Filed under: Chloroflexota bacterium
Lineage: Bacteria; Bacillati; Chloroflexota
Description: Chloroflexi bacterium tRNA-Arg
Rfam family: tRNA
About the family: Transfer RNA (tRNA) molecules are approximately 80 nucleotides in length. Their secondary structure includes four short double-helical elements and three loops (D, anti-codon, and T loops). Further hydrogen bonds mediate the characteristic L-shaped molecular structure. tRNAs have two regions of fundamental functional importance: the anti-codon, which is responsible for specific mRNA codon recognition, and the 3' end, to which the tRNAs corresponding amino acid is attached (by aminoacyl-tRNA synthetases). tRNAs cope with the degeneracy of the genetic code in two manners: having more than one tRNA (with a specific anti-codon) for a particular amino acid; and 'wobble' base-pairing, i.e. permitting non-standard base-pairing at the 3rd anti-codon position.
Source: RNAcentral